Long non-coding RNA from Carassius auratus (goldfish), 4465 nucleotides. RefSeq lists it as uncharacterized. NCBI's taxonomy places the organism in Eukaryota, Metazoa, Chordata, Actinopteri, Cypriniformes, Cyprinidae. The transcript has 2 exons. The record is from RefSeq and is a predicted model, not a curated record.
UCAAGAUACGCAAUAGAGUAGACCAAACUAAACAGGGAGGGAGGGCAAAACACUCAUCCAAACAAAUGCAUCAUUAUAACCAGCUUUGGUUGCAAUACUAUUAUUGCAUAUGUUGCACAUUGCUGACUCGGCAUGACUUUAAUAAAGUGUAGCCGGAAACGUUUUGAGAAAAAACAACUACAGUUGUGUUGUGUGACUGCAAGUUUUUUCAGAAAUCCUCCCCGUCCCGUCACCACACGUGGUGGUGGACAGCCAAUCACGGCUAAUUUAGGUCCUAACAUGCACGUAUGCUACAAGCUCACACAGACACCCGCUUGGCAAAAAAAAGAAAAACGGCCACUUGGCUUUUGGAACCGAAAUUUGGCACAGAAAGAUAAAUAAUUUUUCGAUACUCAUAGUAUUUAAGUUUUUCGUUCGAUACCAUAAAGGCAUCGAAGUUUCGUUACCCAGCCCUAAUUCCGACGAGGAUUGAACCUGGAACUCCAAGCUAAACUAGCCUGUCAUGACGAGGUUAAAACUCAAAUUCAUCAAGCUGACCAUUCAAAUAGGCUGCACAACACAAUUCAUCACACAAUCUUCACCCUCUAACACUGAACCCAUGCAACUCGGCUACACUCACCUCACUCUCAGAGAAUGCAACCGAUGAGUGUAACUGCACCUGUGCAUGUACUGUGGUCAAUCUGGUCAUCUCAAAUCAACAUGUUUUGUCAAACCCAUUGCAUCUAAUUCCAGAUCUGUGAGUUCCUGCUUCCAAAGCAAUUAUUCCGCCUCAUGUAUCAGAAUACCAGUACAGAUAUCCAUCACUGGUAAAGUUAUAUCCACUUCUGCCUUGCUAGACUCAACGAUGACGUAAAGGUGCAAGUAGGAGAACUCCAUAACAAAUCCAUUCAAUUCUGUGAUCAAUUCCCCAAAUAACCCCAUCAUCCUCGGCUUACCAUGGGUGCGCAGACACAGUCCUCAAAUCUCAUGGAAAGGAGGACAGAUUAUUCAAUAUUAUUCAACCUGUCAUAAACUCUGUCUGACUCAGAUCUCUCCCCUGUCAGUAUACAAAUUCACCUUCAAAGAAACCCCCCCCCAUAAAUAUGAAAUCCCAGGGCUACCACUGAAGCGUUGAUACCAGGUACCACUCAGAAUCUUCCUAUUAUCACAGCCUGAAUCUGAUGCCAUGAAGAGUUGCCAAAAUGAUGCCAAAAUGGAGCUAGCUUAAGGUUUCAUCAGACCCUCAACUUCACCUGCUUCGGCUGGGUUCUUCUUCGUAAAGAAGAAGGACGGAGUUCUCAGACACUGCAUAGACUAUCAUGGCCUAAAUGAUAUCACCAUCAAAUUCCAAUACCCUUUUAUAACUAGUACCUGCCACUUUAGAACAACUCCACCAGGCCAAAUACUUCACCAGGCUUGAUUUGUGUUCUGCAUACAACCCGAUCCAAAUCAGAGAGGAUGAUGAGUAGAAAACUGCAUUCUCUACAUCUACUGGGCACUAUGAAUAUUCUGUUCUGCUGUUCUGCCUUGUGAACAGUCCUUCAGUGUUUCAUAAAUGAUGUUUUGUCUGGGAUAUGCUUGACUGAUGAGUGAUUGUGUAUAUUGAUGACAUCCUGAUAUAUUCAAACUCUCCUGAGGAACACAUACAAGACAUCAGAUCUGUUAUUAAAUGCCUGAUUCAGUACCAACUUUAAGCCAUAAUUGAAAAAAAAUGUGAAUUUCACCAAAUAACCGCAUCGUUCCUAGGAUACAACAUCAGCCAGGAGGGAGUGGCUAUGGAUGACUACAAAGUCAGGGAAGUAGUGAAAUGGUCUCAGCUACGCACAGUAAAGGAGUUGCAACACUUCCUCAGCUUCACUGUUUUCUAUCGGCGGUUCAUUAAGAACUUCAGCUCAGUCUCUACUCCACUGACCACCAUGACAAAAUGCACCAUCUCUCACAUAACAUGGUCCUCCAGUGCCUUGCAGGCUUUUGAGAUUAAGACCUGAUUCACCCCAGCACCCAUUCUCCAUCAUCCCGAUCCAGGUCCUCUGUUCACUGUAGAAGAGAGAGCUUCAAACACAGGAAUCGGGGCAGUUCUCUCUCAAUAUCACAGAUCUCUAGCUAAAAUGUUUCCCCAGGUGAAAAACAAGUACACUUCCAUAACGUACUUAAAGUGCUCUAUUUUCGUGCACUUAUUUUGUACUUAAUAUACUAAAAAUUAUACUUUAGUACUUCUUAAGAUAAUCUAAGGGUACUCAACUGUGCUAUUUUGAGACUGAAUAUGAACUAAAAUGCACUUUUAACAUACAAUCUUUGCAUUUAAAAAGGUAUAUAGCUACCACUUGUAGUACACUUGAGUAUACUAGUGUAUGAAAGAUGGGUUCAAGUACUGUAUACUACAAGUGGUAACUAAACACAUUUUUAAAACACAAAGAGCACAUUUUAGUUCAUUUUUAGUUCAUUUUAGUUCAUUUAUGUCCACAUGAACUCACCUGUCCCCAAACCACUUGGUAACAAACUCAUCCACGUAAAUGCUACUCCCAAGUACAUGGGACUCCCAGGCAUUACAGCUACUCUUCAUCUCCUUGAGAAUCGGUUCUGGUGGCUGUGCCAUUUGUCAACUACUGCACAGAAUGUAAAACAUUCCAAGACUUCCUGAAAACGACAAAAUCCUGUCUUCUCAUUCCUCUACCCAAACUUCGUACUUCCUUCAAAACAGCUGAAGUUCUAUGCAGCUAUGUAUUUUGGUUCUAUGGUCUACCCAAGGACAUUGUAUCUGAUAGGGGACCCAAUUCACUUGCAGAGUCUGGUCUGCAUUCUUCAAACACCUCAACAUAAAUGUAAGUCUCACAUUCGGUCAGACUGAACGCAUAAAACAGGGCCCUCAUUUAUCAAGAGUGCAUAGAAAAGCUUCUAUAUUUUGUCCUACAAAUGAAAUUUUGAAUGUAAGUAAAAAAAAUCUGUAUUUAUCAAACAUGUGCAUGCGGUUCUUAAAUCAGUAAGUAAUCAUUGAUAAAUCCCACAUUUUCUUGCUCGUUCAUGUUCAUGGUCAUUUGCAUUCAGAAACACCUCCAAUGAAAAAUAUAUGGUGACAAUACCUCCCUUUAUUAUCACAUGAAUGUAUAAGCCCUCACCAAAGUCAUGGCAAAGAAAGCAGUACCGAAUGAGAAGCCAUUCUGUGCCAUCAUUAAACAGAUCAGUGUGCUCUUUGCACGGUCUUUGUGCAGCACAUGGUUUGCGUUUGCCAAAUCUUCCAGCAAAGCGAGAUCAACCAUGACCAUAUAGCUACAUUUCAAAUCGACUUCCCAUGCUGUCCUUUAUAGCUUUUCACACUAAUUGUGCAAAUGUUUAGCUUGAAAUAUGAAACUAUUAAUUGAGCAUUUGCAAUUAAAGGACACAGAACAAAUGAGGCGGCACUCUCCUUUUGUGGUAUUGCCAUUCUACCACUAGAUUCUCUGUGUAAGCAUGUUGUGCUUAAAUUUACACACAUUCCUACGCAUAAGUACAAGUUGGUACAGUAGAUCCCACACUUAACGUGAAUUAUAAUCUUAACUCUUAACUCAUUAUGAACACAUCUGUGUGUACGCACUGUUGAUAAAUGAGGGCCCAGGAACUCAAAUGUUUCCUCAGCGCUUAAUGCCAACAGAACCAACCCUUUUUAUCUGGGCCGAGUAUGCGCAAAAUUUACUUCAGAAACCUGCCACUUGUCUAACUCCCUUCAUGUGCAUCUUAGGCUACCAACUUCCCGUUCCCAUGGUCUGCUGAACUGUCAAUGAAGGCCUCAGUCGCUUAAUUGCUUCAGUCCAUUGAGGAGACUUGAAAUCGAGCAAACUCCCAAUUACAGCAAGCUGUGAGGAGACAAGAGGAACAGACCAACCACCACCGUCAUCCCAGCGAUUGACUGAUCGGGUCAGUGGGUUUGGCUAUCCACCAGAGACAUUCGGAUCAGAAUUCCAUGCAAUAAACUCAAUCCUAGGGGUAUGGCCCGGAGGAGUAUGGGGUACACCCCAUAUUUUUGUAUGCAUCUAGAAAAAAUGUCCACUAGACCACAAGGAAGACCCCUGCAUUCCCACAUCAGAAGCCCUAGCAGGGUGAGGGCUCUGUUACAAGUGAGGCUCCUGUACCGCCUUCCUCACACCACCAAAGGAAGCUUUCACCUGAAUACUGACUAAUUAGAUCCGGACUGCAUUUCCCAUAAGCCAUCAUACCUGUGACUGACUGUACACACACCUGCAUCGCACCACACAUGCAUAUAAGCCUUGCACACACGUACACUCACUGCAAGUCUUGAUUUGGUACUGUGGUCAUUUAUGAGUGUUUACCUUCUGGAUUAUAUUUCUGUGUUUGAUCUUAGACGGUUUCCUCACGUUUGAUUCUCUGCUGCCUGCCUCAACCUAUUGCCUGUUCUUUGGGCUGUGACUGUAAGCUGCCUGCUGCUAACCUUUAGCUGUCUCUUUACCAUGUAUCAUUCUGAGCAUAUUGUCAAUAAAGCAGCAGUUGGAUC